CAACAGCGUAUAUUAAAGUUGUUGCAGUUAAAACGCUCGUAGUCGGAUUUCGGGGCGGGCGGGCCGGUCUGCCGAUGGGUAUGCACUGGUCUGGCCGUCCUUCCUUCCGGAGACCGUGCGUGCUCUUAACUGAGUGCGCUCGGGAGACGGAUCGUUUACUUUGAAAAAUCAGAGUGUUUCAAGCAGGCAGCUCGCUCUUGCAUGGAUUAGCAUGGGAUAAUGAAAUAGGACUUUGGUGCUAUUUUGUUGGUUUCGAACACCGAAGUAAUGAUUAACAGGGACAGUCAGGGGCACUCGUAUUCCGCCGAGAGAGGUGAAAUUCUCAGACCAGCGGAAGACGAACCACUGCGAAAGCAUUUGCCAGGGAUGUUUUCACUGA
This 379-nucleotide ribosomal RNA is filed under the name uncultured eukaryote. RNAcentral describes it as "partial 18S ribosomal RNA". It matches the Rfam family "Eukaryotic small subunit ribosomal RNA", at positions 592 to 976 of the family's 1831-position model. The record is from RNAcentral.